AGUGAACGCUGGCGGUAGGCCUAACACAUGCAAGUCGAACGGCAGCACAGUAAGAGCUUGCUCUUACGGGUGGCGAGUGGCGGACGUGUGAGGAAUACAUCGGAAUCUACUUUUUCGUGGGGGAUAACGUAGGGAAACUUACGCUAAUACCGCAUACGACCUACGGGUGAAAGCAGGGGAUCUUCGGACCUUGCGCGAUUGAAUGAGCCGAUAUCGGAUUAGCUAGUUGGCGGGGUAACGGCCCACCAAGGCGACGAUCCGUAGCUGGUCUGAGAGGAUGAUCAGCCACACUGGAACUGAGACACGGUCCAGACUCCUACGGGAGGCAGCAGUGGGGAAUAUUGGACAAUGGGCGCAGGCCUGAUCCAGCCAUACCGCGUGGGUGAAGAAGGCCUUCGGGUUGUAAAGCCCUUUUGUUGGGAAAGAAAAGCAGCAGGUUAAUACCCCGCUGUUCUGACGGUACCCAAAGAAUAAGCACCGGCUAACUUCGUG
RNAcentral lists this ribosomal RNA (492 nucleotides) under uncultured bacterium. RNAcentral's name for it is "partial 16S ribosomal RNA". It matches the Rfam family "Bacterial small subunit ribosomal RNA", at positions 29 to 507 of the family's 1533-position model. The record is from RNAcentral.